UGCAGUCGAGCGGACAGAUGGGAGCUUGCUCCCUGAUGUUAGCGGCGGACGGGUGAGUAACACGUGGGUAACCUGCCUGUAAGACUGGGAUAACUCCGGGAAACCGGGGCUAAUACCGGAUGGUUGUUUGAACCGCAUGGUUCAAACAUAAAAGGUGGCUUCGGCUACCACUUACAGAUGGACCCGCGGCGCAUUAGCUAGUUGGUGAGGUAAUGGCUCACCAAGGCAACGAUGCGUAGCCGACCUGAGAGGGUGAUCGGCCACACUGGGACUGAGACACGGCCCAGACUCCUACGGGAGGCAGCAGUAGGGAAUCUUCCGCAAUGGACGAAAGUCUGACGGAGCAACGCCGCGUGAGUGAUGAAGGUUUUCGGAUCGUAAAGCUCUGUUGUUAGGGAAGAACAAGUACCGUUCGAAUAGGGCGGUACCUUGACGGUACCUAACCAGAAAGCCACGGCUAACUACGUGCCAGCAGCCGCGGUAAUACGUAGGUGGCAAGCGUUGUCCGGAAUUAUUGGGCGUAAAGGGCUCGCAGGCGGUUUCUUAAGUCUGAUGUGAAAGCCCCCGGCUCAACCGGGGAGGGUCAUUGGAAACUGGGGAACUUGAGUGCAGAAGAGGAGAGUGGAAUUCCACGUGUAGCGGUGAAAUGCGUAGAGAUGUGGAGGAACACCAGUGGCGAAG
This 681-nucleotide ribosomal RNA is filed under the name Bacillus subtilis. RNAcentral's name for it is "bacterial SSU rRNA". It matches the Rfam family "Bacterial small subunit ribosomal RNA", at positions 56 to 720 of the family's 1533-position model. Lineage: Bacteria; Bacillati; Bacillota; Bacilli; Caryophanales; Bacillaceae. The record is from RNAcentral.